Molecule: non-coding RNA, 6450 nt
Organism: Sus scrofa (pig)
Lineage: Eukaryota; Metazoa; Chordata; Mammalia; Artiodactyla; Suidae
Source: RefSeq, a predicted model, not a curated record
UAUUUCCUUUUCGAUAUCUUUCUUGAAUCAUUGGUUGUUCAGUAGCAUGUUGUUUAGUUUCCACAACUAUGCAAACCUUUGAAGAUAUGAAUCUAUGACAUUGUAUAAAUGUAUAUGACAUUGUGUAAAUAAGUGUUUAUACAGUGUCGUGAAGAUUGUAGCCUCUUUAAUUUAGGUAAUUUUUCAUUCAGGUAAAAUGUAAUUCAGUAUACUUUUUAAUGUUUCAUGUAUAAAACAAAUGACAUAUAUUUGGAAUUCCUGUUUAUUUGACUCAUUCAUUCUUUAACCAUUAAAAUACACUUCUUCCCUAGUACUCUAAUGGCAUUUGUCUUUAGGUGGUGAAAAAUAAUAUCUUAUCUGAUAAAACAUUGACUGAUUUUUAGACUUCAUAUAAUUUCACUUUAUUGUUUCAUGGGAUACUGAAGGCCAGUAGUGUUCAAAAUUGUAUUACUAUAACUCUAAAAUAUUGUUGUAAAAUGAUUAUCUUUCUUUUUUAAGAUAUCCUAUCUUUUGAAAAUGUCAUAAAAAUAUUUUAAUUGGAAUGUUGCAAAGGAGAUAACAUAUAGUAUAAUAUGAAUAUUAAAAACUGCUACCUCAUUCAUAUAUAUGUAUAUAUUCUCCAGUGGUACCUAAAUAGUGUAAUGAUUUGAUAUACAACAUCCAUUUAUACAUACUCAAGAAAUUUUAAUUUAAUUUUUAGUAAUUUACAGUUUUUUCUAUAAACACAUAUAUAUGUAGUAUCAUAUUUACUAUACAUAAUUUAUCAUAAUGCUGUUUAAAGCUUUUAAAUUUUUUUCCCUAUAACUCUGAAGUCCUACAGUUAAAAGUCCCUACUAUAACCAUCCUAUUUGAGUGAUCGUUCAGUUAUAAUUAAUGCAUAAUUGAUCAAAAUGCCAAAACAUAUUAUUAAUUUUGAUAAAAAUGUUUUCAGAAACAUGUAUCUUAAGAACACAUUAAGACAUAUAAAAUAGUAUACUUUGGAAGACAUUAACUAUGAAAUAAGUGAUUUAGUAGCAAUGACCUAAAUAAGUUAAUGAAAAAAAGACUUUUUAAAAAUUUAUUUCUGUGAUGGACACUAUCUUUCAAUUCUCAGCUUCACCAGUGAAAUACAGAAAGUCUUCCAGCAUUAAGUCCCCUUUAAAUAUCAACAGAUAUAUGCCUUUCUAAUGAAGGGAACAUUUUGAUGACAUAGAUAGCACAGCGUUUCCUCUAAGUUAGAGCCAAGUGCUUCAGGAGAAUAUAUGAAAUCUCAUGUUACCUGCAAAAAAAAUGACUGUCUUUUCUGAAUGUUCAAUGCCUCAAAUAUUCUGAUAAACAUUUUGCCUGUGCCAUUUUAUUAAAUCUUAUUACAACCUAUGAGAAAAUAAUCAUACCAUCAUUUUAUGUGAGACAACAGAGAAAUAGGAUACAUUUUUCCCAGGACCCUACAGGUGGUAGAGCCAGGGCUCAAAUAAAAUGCUCUCAGAGCCAAUGCUGCUUACCAUUGGCCUCACCCACCUCCCUGUAAGAGCAAUUGCAAUGCAGGUAGCUUUUCAGGCUUUCUUGUUUCCCUCUCAUUAUCAAAUCCUAUUAAAUUGCCUUAUAAGAAAUGUCUGUAUGUAAACUGAAACUUCAGUGAUAAAAUUUGCUUCCAUUUAUUCUUUGUAGUUUUAGUUGAAUUUCUUUGUAGUUUUAGUUGCAAUAUAAUCACACAAUUUAAUAUAUUUCUGUUUAUAUAUAGUGUAUUUACAUAUAAAGGAAAAUAUGCAUGAGUUAAGCCCUAUUGUGAUAAAAUCAAUACUAAAAACAUGUGGAAUUUAAUAACAUAUACUGAGUUGUUGGGGUUUUUUAGUGUCUUAAAGGUGCUUAAAUACUUUCAUGGCUCUGUGUAUCAUUUUUAAUGAUAGCACUAACUUUUUUCUUGAAUACAUAAUUAUACGUUUUUUGUGGAUGGAAGGUACAGUGCUAAUACUUUUGGAACUUAAAGAGAAAACAAUCAUAAUUACAAAAUCUCAAUGUUAGCUUUUAAUAUAUGUUUAAUUCAGUAUAUGGACAAAUAAUAAUAUAUGAGAAAAUAUGUUAUGUUUAACCAAGUGUUGAAGAGGAUAUUUAUGCCACAGGGGCUCAGAGGAGGGGAAACACCACGGAUGAUGACAUCUGUAACGGAAGGAAAGGACCUUGACUUAAAGAAGUGAUGUAAAAAAGGAUAGUGUCUCAGAAAAGAGGGAAAUGAACAGACGUAUUUGAGUAUGAGGAAGAAAUGACAAUAAUAGAAUUUAAUGGUCAUCUAACAACUAUAAUGUAAAACAUAUCAGAAGAGGAAAGAUUGAAGGCAGGGUAUUGUAAUAACCUAGACUUAGAAUGUAGUAAUGAGUGUCUAAGGCUCUAUUUGCCUUUCAAAAGAGUGAUUUACCCAUAAAUUUACUAAUGCUUCUGUGACCUAAGCUCUCUGAUCUUCUGUUGAAAAUUAUGUGCCUUGAAAGCCAGUUGUUCUCUGGCAUAUAACCACAGGGAAUAUGUAGUUAGUUAAUUAAUAAAAUAUAAGAGAAGCAGACUAUAGCAUGGAAGACCUGAGAAUAUGGGGAAAUUUUUAAUGCUGCUCUGAAAUGUCAUUCAAAAGCAAUCAAGACAUAGAGCAUGAAAACAGUUACCACAUUCACUUGCAGCCUAUGAUCUCCUCCUGGUGAAAGAUUACACAUCUUCAUAUUCACACAGCUUAUAUCCAGGCAUACGAUAGGGGCUGAAGAAUACCUUGUUGCUGAAUUAAAUUAAAGUAGGAUGCUACCCAAGUAGAAUGAUACAGAUAGUAUUUUCUAGAAGGAGAGUAGACACAGUUAUGUACCAAAGAAUGUAUAAGUAAGAGCAUGCAAGCAUUGGUGGAACAAGAUGGGAGGAGUAAAUAACUGUUAAAGGGAUUUCAGAAGUCUCAUGUAAGGGAUGGAUUUUCAUCUAGAUUCAAAAAAUGAGUAAGUUAGAAAAUUUGGUGGGUAUGGGGAGAAUGUCCUAGGGAUAGGUUUUGAAGAAGCAAGGUUCUAGGAUUGUAAUCUAUUAUGUAGUGUAUUAUUAUUACACUACAUAAUAAUGUAUAAUAAUAAUGUAAUGCAAGCUACAUAAUAGUGAAUAAUAAUAAUGUAAUGUAAUCUAUUAAUGUGGAUGCAUAAGACAAAAAUAAAUAUUUACAUUAAAAAUAAACAGAUAUCUCCUUUCUUGUUUUGUAAUACUCAUCUGUAAUUUGGCAAACAUAAUGAUGAAAAAAUAGAAUGCAUCUUGAUUUUAUGUUUUAUUCUGAUGGCAUAAAAUAUAGUAUGCUUUUCUAGUAGUGAGACACGAAAGGGAAAUUGUCACUGAAGUCCAAAUUGAUACACUCUCAAAAGAAAGAAAAGGAAGUAUUUUAUCAUUGGUUAAGAUGUGAUUGAGGUACCUCAUAUAUUCAACUAUAAUCAUUCAACAAUUUUUUGAGGACCUAUUGUAUGCUAAGCACCACAUUAAGACAUAAUUUAUCCAUGAAUACAGAUGAACGCAAAAAUAUGUUACAGGCAAGAAUACUACCUCCAUGUGCUUAACCUCUGUAAUGGGUCAAAAUCUACUCUUCUUUUUGUCAUUACCAUAUCACUUCCAUCUUUUCCUAACAGCACAUCAAUUUUUUUCUUUUCUCUUACGAAAACUACUUCCCUCAUGUUCAAGUUGUCUAAAUAAUCAUCAGCUCUAGUUUGGCAUCAUUAGCAAUUUGUCUGUGAACUUUGUGGACCUUAACUGAGGAAUAUAAGAGUGAAAGACGUUUGGAGCUGAAUUAUUGGAUUGCCAUUGUUUGACCUACCUGCCAUCCAUGAACCUCUCCUAUUAAGAUCUUCAGAAUGGAAAUUUAACUUCAUCAUCAUCCUGCAAUGUUUCAUUCAUGACAGUGUCACGUAUGGACAAAUGUAAGUCUCCACUUGAGUUUCUGUGAUACAGGAUCCUCUUAGCCAGCAGUGACAAAGAUGUAAGUGAAAGUAGUGGAACCUACAAAUUCAUCACUGUGCAUCAGGUGCUGACUGAAAAAAAAUUCACAACCUAAAAGUUGAGAAUUAUGUUUUAUUCAGCAGACUUACUGAGGACCUUAAGUCCAGGAGAUAGCCUCUCAGAUAGCUCUGAGGGACUGUUCUAAAGAGACUAUAUUUACCAUAAGAUAUAACUGGAAAAUGCCUUCAAACUGAUGCUAGAUUUUACAGAUUGCUGUACAGUAUGUAUAGGUAUAAUCUACCCCAUGGAUUGUUCUAAGAAGUAUAUGAAAUUAUAUGUGAUUUAAUGACAUGAUUCUUGGCACACUGUAAGUACUUAGUUGAAAUUAACUUUAAAAUUAUUAUGGAUAAUUGCUAAAACAAAAUUAUGAUUGUCUUCCCACAAACUGCCUAUACAAAAGGCACAGUUAUAUUUGAUGUAGAAAGAAUACUUGGUUUGUCACAGAUGGGUCUUAAGCUUUUGAUUUUAACCAUCUUUAUGCUGGCUACCAAGCAGAUGCCCCAUUUUGCUGUACAACUUAAAAUAUCAGUUAAGACUGGCAUUCUCAUUGCUGAUAGGCUAAUGAAAUAAAAAUCAAGAAGUAAAAAUAUUUCAGUGAUGAGAUUACAGCAUAAUCUUUUUGACAUUCUUCUAACUUGGGCUCUCGGGGGAAAAAAGCUUUAAAAAUUAUAGAAAAAUAAUACCAAUUGCUUAAGCAAAUACUUCAUAAUACCUAUGCCUUCCAACCUUAAGAAAACAUCCCCUAAAUAUAAGAAUCUCAAUACUUAAAUGCCCUUCAAAAAUGAUUUUCACUUUUUGAAACCUUUUUCAGAUUUAAAAUUUUUAUGAUAUUUAACCAGUGAUUUAUAAGAAAUUAGUAAAAACCCCAAAUGUUGCUUUACCUUAUAGCAAUGUUGUACCAGAUAAACUUGUAGCUAUCCCACGAUACAAAUUCAACAAAUCAUGUAAAGUAUCCUUUAUUUUUUUUCAGUAAAGAGAAGCAUGCCUGGAAAUUGCUUAUCUAUAAAAAAUAUUUGGUGGCAGAUAAAGUAAUAACUGAUGACACUUGUUCAAGGCAUCUUUUCAGAGAUGUAACAGUAAGAUUUAUGUAAUCUCACUGACAGCUCUGCAAGAUUAUAAAUUAAGCAAUCAGAUGCUAGUGUGCCUAAGAAUUGCUAACAUCCAUCCUAGUUGGAAUUUUCCAUAAAAAAUGUUUUCUCUUAUAAAACUAAAUAUUUCCUGUUUGAUUAAUAUUACAUUUAAAAUUUGUUUUAGGUUAUCAUUUUGGGGUAAAAAAUUGCUUAUAUUUUUUAUUGCAGAAGAUACUUGGGUUUUUCUCAUUUUUUUUCUAUCUUCAAUCUUGAUAACCUACAACCUAUGAUUAAAGAACUUCUGGCUUCCUUCCUAGUAAUCUACAUAUUUUCCUCAAACUUUUUUUUCAUGCCUGAUUCUGAUGCCAGUCACAUCUUUCUAAUCAUUUAGUUUUCAAAAAUUUUUGAAUUUACGUGUUUAGGGAUUUAAGUUUUAUAAUUUCAUUGUAUUAUUAUUAUAAUUAUCAUUAAAUCUUCAAACAACUGAGCAAGUUAGUUAUUUUUUUCCUUUUUAUAGAUGUGGGAAUAAAGCUCUGAGAAUUUAUAAAAUUUGCCUGUGGUCUAUAGAUAAUAAAUUGUGUGGGAGAAAAACUGAAAAUAAGCUGGAAAAGCAUACCAGUGAGAGUCAGAUUUAAACAUCAGCAUGGGAGUACCUUCUGUGGCACAAUGGGACAGGCAUCAUCUCCAAAGCGCUAGUAGGUAGGUUUGAUCCCUGCCCUGGCACCAUGGGUUAAGGAUCCAGCAUUGCCACAGCUACAUCAUAGGUCACAGCUGUGGCUUGGAUCUAUCCCUGGCCCAGAACUCCAUAUGCUGAAAGGGGAGACAAAAAAGAAAAAAAAAGUUAUAAACAAGUAAAUAUCAGCAUGGAGGUAGUCACUGGCUAAACAAAUCAUUCAUUUGUAAAUACAUUUCUGAAAUAAUUUAUUGUCUUGUCUUGACUGGACAGUUUAAGAACCACUAAGUUUCAUACUUACUGGUUUUCAACACUUUCCUUUUGUGUAGAGGUUGUAUUACAUUUUCUAAAAUGCAGUGCUUACAAAUGUUAUACUUGAAAAACUGCAAGAUCCUUCUACCUAAAAAAAAGAAAAAAACUAUCUUCACAGUGUGUAUACUCUAAAACCAGAGUAGGUCAACAGAUAUAAUUAAAGUACAUCAACUUCUCCAUUUUCUGUCUUCACGUUAUAUAGUCUUAUCCUGCUUGGACAGUUAGACAGAACUGAACUUGUGAACUCCCACUAAUGUCAACCUCUCCAAAUCCUGAUGCGCAUCCAGGGUUCUGCAUUUCAGUAGAUGAUAGUACCAUUUUUCCUAUUGCUCAAUCCAGAAACUCAGACAUCCUUGUUUAAAAGGCCACCCUUGAAUGAUUUAGUGGAGUUCUCGUCAUGGUGCAGUGGUGAGCGAA